Molecule: non-coding RNA, 444 nt
Organism: Maylandia zebra (zebra mbuna)
Lineage: Eukaryota; Metazoa; Chordata; Actinopteri; Cichliformes; Cichlidae
Source: RefSeq, a predicted model, not a curated record
UGUGCCAACCGCUCUUUUUUUCAUGCAGGACACUCAAGUUGGCUUCGCUAACGGACACAGUUUUGAACUCGUAUAUUAGCGCCAUUUAUUGCUGCUUGGACCACAGCAUCUUCGGAAUUUGUAGACAUCCUGGCAGCUUACAAUUAGUUCGAGGUGAGACAUCUUGGAAAUGGGGGACAGCAUAAGGAGUUCCAUUACUAAGGUGCUGCCGGACCUGUCUGCCUCAAUCCUUGAAAUUGUACUGGAGGCACUACAAUCAUUAGGAGUGGAGACAUCUGAGAAACAAACCACACCAAAUAUGGAAAUUUCAAGCCAGGCCAGCAUAUCGUCUCCAUCUGUUUUAAGGUUUAAGGGUGGUGGCACAGCUAAGACCCAAGAGUCUCUUUCAAGACACUGAAUUUGAGCAGAAACCAUAAGGAUACUCAAAGGACCUGUGACUCUCAG